UUCUGGCUCAGGAUGAACGCUAGCGGCAGGCUUAACACAUGCAAGUCGAGGGGCAUCGGGAGUAGCAAUACUUGCCGGCGACCGGCGCAAGGGUGCGUAACGCGUGAGCAACAUGCCCGUAUCAGGGGGAUAAUCCAUGGAAACGUGGUCUAAUACCCCAUAGUAAUUAUGUAAGGCAUCUUAUAUAAUUUAAAGCUUUGGUGGAUACGGAUUGGCUCGCGUGACAUUAGCUGGAUGGUAAGGUAACGGCUUACCAUGGCUACGAUGUCUAGGGGUUCUGAGAGGAAGGUCCCCCACACUGGAACUGAGACACGGUCCAGACUCCUACGGGAGGCAGCAGUGAGGAAUAUUGGACAAUGGAUGGAAAUCUGAUCCAGCCAUGCCGCGUGCCAGGAAGACGGCCCUAUGGGUUGUAAACUGCUUUUGUAUGGGAGCAAUAAGGGCUACGUGUAGUCCGAUGAGAGUACCAUACGAAUAAGCACCGGCUAACUCCGUGCCAGCCGCCGC
Molecule: ribosomal RNA, 507 nt
Filed under: uncultured bacterium
Lineage: Bacteria
Description: bacterial SSU rRNA
Rfam family: Bacterial small subunit ribosomal RNA
Source: RNAcentral